AACACCUUAGGCUGGUGGGGCUGCGGCAAGAAGCGGGUCUGUUUCUUUACUUCCUCCACGGAGUCGGCACACUAUGGCUGCCCUCUGGGCUCCCAGAACCCACAACAUGAAAG
This 113-nucleotide unclassified non-coding RNA is filed under the name Homo sapiens (human). The record is from RNAcentral. Lineage: Eukaryota; Metazoa; Chordata; Mammalia; Primates; Hominidae.